UGCAUGACUGUAAUACACAGGGGGAUUAGUGUUAGCAGACAGAGCUUGUCACACAGCUUUGCUCUAACAUGACAAAUGAGCGCUUGGUUCUAUUACAGCACGGUUUGCUCCUUUUCUUUUUCCUUUUAGUCUGUUCAGCCUCCUCAGCCUCACUCAUUUAUGAUGGAUAAAAGCUUCUGAAGACAGUGGAUUAGAACCUGACCUCUGGUAAGCCUCUCCAAGGCAGGGGAGCAUGUUACCUAGCCACAGGUCACACCUGUGGUCAAUUAGAGUGCCCUUUGCUCCAGGGCUCCAUAGAAAACAUCUGCAGAGCAUUAGGCUGAGAGUUUCUCUCCUGAUGACUGAACUUUAUUGUGAAUGAAGAGAUGCUCACUCUCUCUCUCUCUACACUUAAGAGGUACCAAAAAGAUAUUCAUCCCCACAUUUCAGAUGAUGGAGCUUCCCACGGCACAGCAAAGCCUUCCUAGGGAUUCACCAGGGAGUUUGGUAGCGAACUGAUGCUGCUUUACAUACUGCAAGCUUUCCUCACUGAGAAUGAGUCUGCCAGUUACAGGGGAAGGAAUGGAUAAUGUCUACAGAUGGGAGAAUAAUGAAGCAAGACAAUGCCAUGAAUACUUUGGGAACUUGACAACUGACAGACCCCAAGCAACCAAAAAAGAAAAGAAAAGCAGCAGCAGCAGUGAGCUCUAGGUCUCCGAGAAAAUUUAAGGAGCAAAUGGUUGCAGGAAAUGUGACUGUGUAUGACUUCAGCUGGCAGCAACUAAAUGUGAUUGAUAUUAAUUAACACUAUUUUUUGGCAAUAUUGUUCUGCUUAUAAAUAAUAAAGAUCGAGAGUUCAGAGUC
Heteronotia binoei (common prickly gecko) is the source of this 843-nucleotide long non-coding RNA. RefSeq lists it as uncharacterized. The transcript has 3 exons. NCBI's taxonomy places the organism in Eukaryota, Metazoa, Chordata, Lepidosauria, Squamata, Gekkonidae. The record is from RefSeq and is a predicted model, not a curated record.